UGUUGUGGCAACAGAUGAUGAAAAUAUAGUUGAGUGCUGUCAAGGUUUUGGUGUUGAAGUAAUAAUGACCUCUAAAUCAUGUAGAAAUGGUAAUGAUAUUAUCCUCGUUUUCUUAAUCUUAAAUUUUGCUACUUCUGUGAAUUUCGUCUGUUAAAUUGCUAAUGCUCAGUUCUUAAAUUCGAGGAACCGAGCGUUGCAAUGAAGCUCUUCAAAAGCUUGGGAAUAAAUAUGACAUUGUCGUUAACAUACAAAGAGAUGAACCUCUUAUUGAACCUG
Molecule: unclassified non-coding RNA, 276 nt
Filed under: Hevea brasiliensis (rubber tree)
Lineage: Eukaryota; Viridiplantae; Streptophyta; Magnoliopsida; Malpighiales; Euphorbiaceae
Source: RNAcentral